Molecule: transfer RNA, 72 nt
Filed under: Paramuricea clavata
Lineage: Eukaryota; Metazoa; Cnidaria; Anthozoa; Malacalcyonacea; Plexauridae
Rfam family: tRNA
About the family: Transfer RNA (tRNA) molecules are approximately 80 nucleotides in length. Their secondary structure includes four short double-helical elements and three loops (D, anti-codon, and T loops).
Source: Rfam by way of RNAcentral
GCCUCAUUAGCUCAGGGGUAGAGCAGUAGUCUCGUAAACUAAAGGUCGCUAGUUCGAAUCUCCCAUGAGACU